GGACCGGUGGCUCAGCUUGGUAGAGCAUCUGCCUUUUAAGCAGAGGGUCGCGGGUUCAAAACAAGACGAAGGUUUGCCUUUGUUUGUGAAUGUCCCGUCCGGUCCA
RNAcentral lists this transfer RNA (106 nucleotides) under Candidatus Woesearchaeota archaeon. RNAcentral describes it as "tRNA-Lys". It matches the Rfam family "tRNA". Rfam says of the family: Transfer RNA (tRNA) molecules are approximately 80 nucleotides in length. Their secondary structure includes four short double-helical elements and three loops (D, anti-codon, and T loops). The record is from RNAcentral. Lineage: Archaea; Nanobdellati; Candidatus Woesearchaeota.